RNAcentral lists this ribosomal RNA (864 nucleotides) under Staphylococcus epidermidis. RNAcentral describes it as "bacterial SSU rRNA". It matches the Rfam family "Bacterial small subunit ribosomal RNA", at positions 61 to 902 of the family's 1533-position model. The record is from RNAcentral. Lineage: Bacteria; Bacillati; Bacillota; Bacilli; Caryophanales; Staphylococcaceae.
GUCCGAAGCGAACAGACGAGGAGCUUGCUCCUCUGACGUUAGCGGCGGNCGGGUGAGUAACACGUGGAUAACCCUACCUAUAAGAACUGGGAUAACUUCGGGAAACCGGAGCUAAUACCGGAUAAUAUAUUGAACCGCAUGGUUCAAUAGUGAAAGACGGUUUUGCUGUCACUUAUAGAUGGAUCCGCGCCGCAUUAGCUAGUUGGUAAGGUAACGGCUUACCAAGGCAACGAUGCGUAGCCGACCUGAGAGGGUGAUCGGCCACACUGGAACUGAGACACGGUCCAGACUCCUACGGGAGGCAGCAGUAGGGAAUCUUCCGCAAUGGGCGAAAGCCUGACGGAGCAACGCCGCGUGAGUGAUGAAGGUCUUCGGAUCGUAAAACUCUGUUAUUAGGGAAGAACAAAUGUGUAAGUAACUAUGCACGUCUUGACGGUACCUAAUCAGAAAGCCACGGCUAACUACGUGCCAGCAGCCGCGGUAAUACGUAGGUGGCAAGCGUUAUCCGGAAUUAUUGGGCGUAAAGCGCGCGUAGGCGGUUUUUUAAGUCUGAUGUGAAAGCCCACGGCUCAACCGUGGAGGGUCAUUGGAAACUGGAAAACUUGAGUGCAGAAGAGGAGAGUGGAAUUCCAUGUGUAGCGGUGAAAUGCGCAGAGAUAUGGAGGAACACCAGUGGCGAAGGCGACUUUCUGGUCUGUAACUGACGCUGAUGUGCGAAAGCGUGGGGAUCAAACAGGAUUAGAUACCCUGGUAGUCCACGCCGUAAACGAUGAGUGCUAAGUGUUAGGGGGUUUCCGCCCCUUAGUGCUGCAGCUAACGCAUUAAGCACUCCGCCUGGGGAGUACGACCGCAGGGUUGUAACUC